RNAcentral lists this ribosomal RNA (1176 nucleotides) under Triticum aestivum (bread wheat). RNAcentral describes it as "partial small subunit ribosomal RNA". The record is from RNAcentral. Lineage: Eukaryota; Viridiplantae; Streptophyta; Magnoliopsida; Poales; Poaceae.
AUGAACUACCUUUUUGGCUCCAUGCCUGCUUCUUUGGGUCUCCUAUCAAAGCUCACGUCACUCAGCGUUAGCCAUAACAAUCUAACUGGUGAUAUUCCAAUGUCAUUCUCCAACCUCACAGCCCUCACUAACCUUAGCAUGAGUAGCAACCACUUCCAUGGCCAAAUCCCGAGCUGGCUCGGCAACCUGACAUCACUGACACACGUAGAAUUAGGCCAGAAUGGUUUCAGUGGCCAUAUCUCUCCGGCUCUCGGUAAGAUGGCUAAUCUUGUUAGAUUCGACAUCAGGGCUAACAAACUGGAAGGCCUUUUUCUCACGUCCCUGUUCAAUACUUCUUCCAUCACAUACUUCAGCAUCGGCUUCAACCGGUUCUCGGGAUCUCUUCCGCUUGAUAUUGGCUUUAAGCUUUCCAAGCUAAAUCUUUUGGCCAUACAUGGGAACCAAUUCGUAGGACGAAUACCAUCUUCCUUGUCAAAUGCAUCUGCACUUGAAUAUUUAUUUCUUUGCAAAAAUAAGCAUCAUGGUCCUAUUCCACGGGACAUUGGCAUCCAUUGUCAUUUCCGGAAAUUUUCGUUAGGACACAAUUUGCUUCAAACCAUAGAGCCUAGGGAUUGGGAUUUCCUCACAUCAUUUACAAACUGUAGCAACCUGGAAAUACUAGACCUUGAACAAAACAACCUCGAAGGUGUUAUGCAAGUUACCAUUGCUAAUCUAUCUACAAAGCUCUACUGGAUUACAAUAGGUAGAGACAAAAUAACUGGGACCAUACCUGCAGGGCUAGGAAAGUAUAAAAAACUUACAAAGUUUAACAUCGCAAAUAGCCUUUUCAUAGGCACCUUGCCUCUAGAUAUUUGCCAGAUUCCUAGCCUACAGUAUCUUGAUCUAUCCCACAAUAGAUUCUAUGGGAAGAUUCCACAAUCAUUAGGCAAUAUCACGCAAUUGAACAACCUCUCUCUUUCUAAUAACUUUCUGGACGGCGUCAUUCCAUCGAGCAUUGGAAAUAUCACAAAACUUAUAUCUCUGGAUCUUUCCGGUAACUCAUUGAGGGGGGAAAUCCCAUGUGAGAAACUUAGUAUUACUUCUCUGACCUUACUUCUCAACCUCUCCAGCAAUGCUCUUAGUGGCUCCAUUCCAACACAGAUAGGAAAGUUGAACAACCUUGUCACAAUCGACUAA